UUAAGUUAUUAAGGGCGCACGGUGGAUGCCUUGGCACUAGAAGCCGAUGAAGGACGUUACUAACGACGAUAUGCUUUGGGGAGCUGUAAGUAAGCUUUGAUCCAGAGAUUUCCGAAUGGGGAAACCCAGCAUGAGUUAUGUCAUGUUAUCGAUAUGUGAAUACAUAGCAUAUCAGAAGGCACACCCGGAGAACUGAAACAUCUUAGUACCCGGAGGAAGAGAAAGAAAAUUCGAUUCCCUUAGUAGCGGCGAGCGAAACGGGAAGAGCCCAAACCAACAAGCUUGCUUGUUGGGGUUGUAGGACACUCUAUACGGAGUUACAAAGGACGACAUUAGACGAAUCAUCUGGAAAGAUGAAUCAAAGAAGGUAAUAAUCCUGUAGUCGAAAAUGUUGUCUCUCUUGAGUGGAUCCUGAGUACGACGGAGCACGUGAAAUUCCGUCGGAAUCUGGGAGGACCAUCUCCUAAGGCUAAAUACUCUCUAGUGACCGAUAGUGAACCAGUACCGUGAGGGAAAGGUGAAAAGCACCCCGGAAGGGGAGUGAAAUAGAACCUGAAACCGUGUGCUUACAAGUAGUCAGAGCCCGUUAAUGGGUGAUGGCGUGCCUUUUGUAGAAUGAACCGGCGAGUUACGAUUUGAUGCAAGGUUAAGCAGUAAAUGUGGAGCCGUAGCGAAAGCGAGUCUGAAUAGGGCGUUUAGUAUUUGGUCGUAGACCCGAAACCAGGUGAUCUACCCUUGGUCAGGUUGAAGUUCAGGUAACACUGAAUGGAGGACCGAACCGACUUACGUUGAAAAGUGAGCGGAUGAACUGAGGGUAGCGGAGAAAUUCCAAUCGAACCUGGAGAUAGCUGGUUCUCUCCGAAAUAGCUUUAGGGCUAGCCUCAAGUGAUGAUUAUUGGAGGUAGAGCACUGUUUGGACGAGGGGCCCCUCUCGGGUUACCGAAUUCAGACAAACUCCGAAUGCCAAUUAAUUUAACUUGGGAGUCAGAACAUGGGUGAUAAGGUCCGUGUUCGAAAGGGAAACAGCCCAGACCACCAGCUAAGGUCCCAAAAUAUAUGUUAAGUGGAAAAGGAUGUGGCGUUGCCCAGACAACUAGGAUGUUGGCUUAGAAGCAGCCAUCAUUUAAAGAGUGCGUAAUAGCUCACUAGUCGAGUGACACUGCGCCGAAAAUGUACCGGGGCUAAACAUAUUACCGAAGCUGUGGAUUGUCCUUUGGACAAUGGUAGGAGAGCGUUCUAAGGGCGUUGAAGCAUGAUCGUAAGGACAUGUGGAGCGCUUAGAAGUGAGAAUGCCGGUGUGAGUAGCGAAAGACGGGUGAGAAUCCCGUCCACCGAUUGACUAAGGUUUCCAGAGGAAGGCUCGUCCGCUCUGGGUUAGUCGGGUCCUAAGCUGAGGCCGACAGGCGUAGGCGAUGGAUAACAGGUUGAUAUUCCUGUACCACCUAUAAUCGUUUUAAUCGAUGGGGGGACGCAGUAGGAUAGGCGAAGCGUGCGAUUGGAUUGCACGUCUAAGCAGUAAGGCUGAGUAUUAGGCAAAUCCGGUACUCGUUAAGGCUGAGCUGUGAUGGGGAGAAGACAUUGUGUCUUCGAGUCGUUGAUUUCACACUGCCGAGAAAAGCCUCUAGAUAGAAAAUAGGUGCCCGUACCGCAAACCGACACAGGUAGUCAAGAUGAGAAUUCUAAGGUGAGCGAGCGAACUCUCGUUAAGGAACUCGGCAAAAUGACCCCGUAACUUCGGGAGAAGGGGUGCUCUUUAGGGUUAACGCCCAGAAGAGCCGCAGUGAAUAGGCCCAAGCGACUGUUUAUCAAAAACACAGGUCUCUGCUAAACCGUAAGGUGAUGUAUAGGGGCUGACGCCUGCCCGGUGCUGGAAGGUUAAGAGGAGUGGUUAGCUUCUGCGAAGCUACGAAUCGAAGCCCCAGUAAACGGCGGCCGUAACUAUAACGGUCCUAAGGUAGCGAAAUUCCUUGUCGGGUAAGUUCCGACCCGCACGAAAGGCGUAACGAUUUGGGCACUGUCUCAACGAGAGACUCGGUGAAAUCAUAGUACCUGUGAAGAUGCAGGUUACCCGCGACAGGACGGAAAGACCCCGUGGAGCUUUACUGUAGCCUGAUAUUGAAAUUCGGCACAGCUUGUACAGGAUAGGUAGGAGCCUUUGAAACGUGAGCGCUAGCUUACGUGGAGGCGCUGGUGGGAUACUACCCUAGCUGUGUUGGCUUUCUAACCCGCACCACUUAUCGUGGUGGGAGACAGUGUCAGGCGGGCAGUUUGACUGGGGCGGUCGCCUCCUAAAAGGUAACGGAGGCGCUCAAAGGUUCCCUCAGAAUGGUUGGAAAUCAUUCAUAGAGUGUAAAGGCAUAAGGGAGCUUGACUGCGAGACCUACAAGUCGAGCAGGGUCGAAAGACGGACUU
RNAcentral lists this ribosomal RNA (2412 nucleotides) under Staphylococcus aureus H25869. RNAcentral's name for it is "bacterial LSU rRNA". It matches the Rfam family "Bacterial large subunit ribosomal RNA", at positions 3 to 2413 of the family's 2925-position model. The record is from RNAcentral. Lineage: Bacteria; Bacillati; Bacillota; Bacilli; Caryophanales; Staphylococcaceae.